RNAcentral lists this long non-coding RNA (286 nucleotides) under Homo sapiens (human). RNAcentral's name for it is "HSALNT0036251". The record is from RNAcentral. Lineage: Eukaryota; Metazoa; Chordata; Mammalia; Primates; Hominidae.
AGCACUAUGGCUCUAAAAAACAAUGUACAGACUAAUUUAAAAUGCUUUAUUGCUUAAAAAUGCUGACACAGAGACAUGAAGUGGGCAUAUGCUGCUGGAAAAAUGGCACAGGCAGACUUGCUGGACACAGUUGCCACAAACCUUCAAUACGUAAAAAUUUAAAAACUACAGUUUCUGUGAAGCGCAGUACAGUGCAGUGUGGUAAAAUGACAUAUGCCUGUAUUUUCCUUUGUAACUUCUGACUAGUACAGCAGAGCUUUUGUAUGUGCUAGUUAGCCAAUAAAUG